Molecule: transfer RNA, 72 nt
Filed under: Eubacterium sp.
Lineage: Bacteria; Bacillati; Bacillota; Clostridia; Eubacteriales; Eubacteriaceae
Also listed under: 1 other name
Description: tRNA-Arg
Rfam family: tRNA
About the family: Transfer RNA (tRNA) molecules are approximately 80 nucleotides in length.
Source: RNAcentral
GUACCUGUAGUCUAAUGGAUAGAACGUCGGCCUCCGGAGCCGGAAAUACAGGUUCAACUCCUGUCAGGUACA